This 253-nucleotide ribosomal RNA is filed under the name uncultured bacterium. Its description in RNAcentral is "partial 16S ribosomal RNA". It matches the Rfam family "Bacterial small subunit ribosomal RNA", at positions 524 to 776 of the family's 1533-position model. The record is from RNAcentral.
UACGUAGGGCGCAAGCGUUAUCCGGAAUUAUUGGGCGUAAAGAGCUCGUAGGCGGUUUGUCACGUCUGCUGUGAAAACCCAUGGCUCAACCGUGGGCUUGCAGCCGAUACGGGCAGGCUAGAGUUCGGUAGGGGAGACUGGAAUUCCUGGUGUAGCGGUGAAAUGCGCAGAUAUCAGGAGGAACACCGGUGGCGAAGGCGGGUCUCUGGGCCGAUACUGACGCUGAGGAGCGAAAGCGUGGGGAGCGAACAGG